GAGAAAAGGGACCUGGGGCGGGAGCGCGGCACCUCAUUCUCGUCAUCCUCCUCAUCCUCCUCCUUGUCCUCCUGGUCCUCCUGGUCCUCCUGGUCCUCCUCCUCGUCCUCCUCGUCCUCCUCCUCGUCCUCCUCCUCCUUAUCCUCCGCAUCCUUAUCCUCCUCAUCCUCCUCAUUGUCCUCCUCAUCCUCAUUAUCCUCCUUCUCCUCCUCCUCAUCUUCCUCCUCGUCGUCGUCCUCCUCCUCCUCCUCCUUGUCCUCCUCCUACUCGUCCUCCUCGUCCUCAUCCUCGUCCUCCUCCUCAUCCUCCUCCUCGUCCUCCUCCUCGUCCUCCUCCUCGUCCUCGUCCUCCUCCUCCUCCUCCUCGUCCUCAUCCUCGUCGUCAUCCUCCUCCUCCUCCUCGUCCUCCUCUUUGUCCUCCUCCACAUCCUCAUUUUCAUUCUCUUUAUCCUCCUAUUCCUCCUCCUCCUCCUCGUCUUCCUCGUCCUCCUCCUCCUUGUCCUCCUUGUCCUCCUCGUCCUCCUUGUCCUCCUCAUCUUCGUCCUUUUCCUCAUCCUUGUCCUCCUCCUCAUCCUCUUCCUCCUUAUCCUCCGCAUCCUUAUCCUCCUCAUCCUCCUCAUUCUCCUCCUCAUCCUCAUUCUCUUCCUUCUCCUCCUCCUCAUCUUCCUCCUCUUCCUCCUCCUCAUCCUCCCCAUCCUGCUCAUCCUCAUCCUCCUCGUCCUUCUCCUCCUGGUCCUGCUCAUCCUCAUCCUCCUCCUCGUCCUCCUCCUCCUCCUGUUCAUCUUCCUUCUCCUCCUCCUCCUCCUCGUCCUCCUUGUCCUCUGCAUCUUCAUUCUUUUCCUCAUCCUCAUCCUUCUCCUCCUCGUCCUCAUCCUCAUCCUUCUUCUCCUCCUCCUCCUCCUCGUUGUCCUCCUCCUCCUCAUCCUCAUCAUCCUCCUUGUCCUUGUCCUCUCUCUUCCUCCUCCUAUUCCUCCUCUUCAUGCUUCUCUGCCUCCUCCUCUUCCUUGUCCUCCUCCUCCUCAUC
Molecule: long non-coding RNA, 1023 nt
Filed under: Lonchura striata (white-rumped munia)
Lineage: Eukaryota; Metazoa; Chordata; Aves; Passeriformes; Estrildidae
Description: domestica (Bengalese finch) lncRNA (ENSLSDG00000003277.1)
Source: RNAcentral